AUCGUUUGUUGGCCUUUUGGCUAAUAUCAAAUGUGUAAUCUAUUUGCGUCAGUUUAUUACUGACAUCCUUUAUCCAAGGACAAUACAGUAAAACCUUAGUUUUUGAGCAUCAUUCAUU
RNAcentral lists this small nuclear RNA (118 nucleotides) under Cavia porcellus (domestic guinea pig). Its description in RNAcentral is "U2 spliceosomal RNA". It matches the Rfam family "U2 spliceosomal RNA". From Rfam's summary of the family: U2 is a small nuclear RNA (snRNA) component of the spliceosome (involved in pre-mRNA splicing). The record is from Rfam by way of RNAcentral. Lineage: Eukaryota; Metazoa; Chordata; Mammalia; Rodentia; Caviidae.